AUUGAACGCUGGCGGCAGGCCUAACACAUGCAAGUCGAGCGGAUGAGGGUAGCUUGCUACCUGAUUCAGCGGCGGACGGGUGAGUAAUGCCUAGGAAUCUGCCUGGUAGUGGGGGACAACGUUUCGAAAGGAACGCUAAUACCGCAUACGUCCUACGGGAGAAAGUGGGGGAUCUUCGGACCUCACGCUAUCAGAUGAGCCUAGGUCGGAUUAGCUAGUUGGUGGGGUAAAGGCUCACCAAGGCGACGAUCCGUAACUGGUCUGAGAGGAUGAUCAGUCACACUGGAACUGAGACACGGUCCAGACUCCUACGGGAGGCAGCAGUGGGGAAUAUUGGACAAUGGGCGGCAAGCCUGAUCCAGCCAUGCCGCGUGUGUGAAGAAGGUCUUCGGAUUGUAAAGCACUUUAAGUUGGGAGGAAGGGCAGUAAGUUAAUACCUUGCUGUUUUGACGUUACCGACAGAAUAAGCACCGGCUAACUCUGUGCCAGC
Molecule: ribosomal RNA, 490 nt
Filed under: uncultured bacterium
Lineage: Bacteria
Description: bacterial SSU rRNA
Rfam family: Bacterial small subunit ribosomal RNA
Source: RNAcentral